GGCGGCGUGCUUAACACAUGCAAGUCGAACGAACCUUCGGGUUAGUGGCGGACGGGUGAGUAACGCGUGAGAAUCUGCCCUCAGGAGGGGGAUAACAGUUGGAAACGACUGCUAAUACCCCAUAUGCCGAGAGGUGAAACGAAUUUUGCCUGGGGAUGAGCUCGCGUCUGAUUAGCUUGUUGGUGGGGUAAAAGCCUACCAAGGCUUCGAUCAGUAGCUGGUCUGAGAGGACGAUCAGCCACACUGGGACUGAGAUACGGCCCAGACUCCUACGGGAGGCAGCAGUGGGGAAUUUUCCGCAAUGGGCGCAAGCCUGACGGAGCAACGCCGCGUGAGGGAUGAAGGCCUUUGGGCUGUAAACCUCUUUUCUCAAGGAAGAAGAUCUGACGGUACUUGAGGAAUAAGCCACGGCUAAUUCCGUGCCAGCAGCCGCGGUAAUACGGGAGUGGCAAGCGUUAUCCGGAAUUAUUGGGCGUAAAGCGUCCGCAGGCGGCCGUUUAAGUCUGUUGAUAAAUCGUGGAGCUCACCUCCAUCACGGCAGUGAAAACUGUUCGGCUUGAGUAUGGUGGGGGCAGAGGGAUUUUC
This 585-nucleotide ribosomal RNA is filed under the name uncultured bacterium. Its description in RNAcentral is "bacterial SSU rRNA". It matches the Rfam family "Bacterial small subunit ribosomal RNA", at positions 38 to 670 of the family's 1533-position model. The record is from RNAcentral.